UUCCGUAGGUGAACCUGCGGAGGGAUCAUUA
Molecule: ribosomal RNA, 31 nt
Filed under: Bipolaris maydis (southern corn leaf blight pathogen)
Lineage: Eukaryota; Fungi; Ascomycota; Dothideomycetes; Pleosporales; Pleosporaceae
Also listed under: 60 other names
Description: partial 18S ribosomal RNA
Source: RNAcentral